CUGAUUCUUUUAGGCCCAAACUAUCUACACACUUGGUGUGUAGAUAGUUACCCCCAAAAGGUGUUUUUUGUCCUUAUGUGCACACCCUGCAGUGUCGAAUUGUGGUGUGUAGAUAGGCAAAUGAGUGUGCCAAUAGGUACACCCUUAUUUUAGGCCAAUAGGUACACCCUUUAUGUGCACACCCUGCAGUGUCGAAUUGUGGUGUGUAGAUAGGCAAAUGAGUGUGCCAAUAGGUACACCCUUCUUAACCUAAUGGAGAAAAAUAUGGACAUCAAAGAUCAAAUUCUACGCAAAAAAUGAGCUGGGUAACUGACUAAAGAGACCACCUCCUCCCUCUUGAAAGCCUAGUAAAACUUGUAUGUUAAAUUUUUCAAGAACCCUAUAAAAUAAAUUAAUUGGACCCUAUAUUAUCAACAGCAAAGAUGGUUUAGUGGUAAAUCCCCCUGUGUUCUAUCAAAUAGAUCCCAAGUUCAAGUUUCACAUAUCUUUUUUUUUAGUUUUUUUUCCCAUCAAAACUAAACUAGUGUUUUAAAACAACACAACCACCCAUUGACCCUCUAAUUUGCUUCUUUAAAAUGAUAAUGUUGAUUUUAUUAACACUUGAUUACCAAAUAAAACUUCCAACAUAUAAUGUAGUGGUUUCAUGUUCACUAAAUGCUAGUUUAUUUUUUCCCAUCAAAAUUAAACUAGUGUUUUAAAAUAGCACAACCAUCCAUUGACCUUCUAAUUUGCUUCUUUAAAAUGAUAAAUGGAAUUUUGAUUUUAUUUAACACUUGAUUACCAAAUAAGACUUUCAACAUAUAAUGUAGUGGUUUCAUGUCCACUAAAUGCUUCUACAUUAUUUCCUAGCCUGACCCGACUACGAUGACCGACCCGAAAAUUUUAAUGUUUGGUUGUGAAAUCCUAGCCCCAACCCGUCUACGAUGAAAAUUUUAUUGUUUGGUUGUGAAAAAUCUUUACACAAAAAAAUGGACCCCAAUGAAAAAAAUCUUGGGUCCGUCACUGUCUGAGGUGACAUGGGGCGCCACUCCACACCAUCCAGCCUUAUAGUUGUAUAGCCAUAUGAUCAUAGAAUUAAGUUAGUUGAUCAUGUAACUAGCUAGUUACAUAAACUAACUCAUUCGUAAGCAUAGUGUUAGAUACUGACCAAAUUGACUAAGAAAUACAUAUAUACUUAGAAAGGGGCUCAGUACAAAAGAUGAUAAACAAUUGUUGGGAUAAUUCUCUUUUCUAGUCGAAGGUGUAAAGGAUAGGAGAGAGAUGGCCUUCGCCAUAUUUUUAUUGAUGCCCUUGUACUCAUACGGCGAAAAGUUAUGAGUAAGAAAACACUCUCAAAUACACACAAUAGAGCUAAGAACAACUGGUAACUUGCUACAUAUCUUGGUAACUUAUUCUUUGUUCUUGAAGGACAUUUGAGUGUGAUAUAAGCUUACAAACAUACAUCAUAAGUCAUUACCGUCAUCAUCAUCACAUUAAUAACAAAGCAAAGUCAGGGUCUGAGGAGGGUAAGAUGUAGACAACCUUAUCUCUACCCCGUAGGAAUAGAGAGGCUGCUUCCAGUGAGACCCCCGGCUCGAUAGUAGUUUUGCAUUAAGCCUUAGACAUAAGACACAUAAAACUCAGUAAUCGGGACAAAGGCCGAGUAGUGCAUGUAUCAUCCCCUUGUCUUUCGGCUAUCAACGCCAUCACAUGAUGCAUGAUUAACCGUCUGCUUC
This 1715-nucleotide long non-coding RNA is filed under the name Helianthus annuus (common sunflower). RNAcentral's name for it is "hypothetical non coding rna". The record is from RNAcentral. Lineage: Eukaryota; Viridiplantae; Streptophyta; Magnoliopsida; Asterales; Asteraceae.